This is a small nucleolar RNA of Trichosurus vulpecula (common brushtail), 94 nucleotides long. RefSeq annotates it as small nucleolar RNA SNORD116. The record is from RefSeq and is a predicted model, not a curated record. The transcript has a single exon. NCBI's taxonomy places the organism in Eukaryota, Metazoa, Chordata, Mammalia, Diprotodontia, Phalangeridae.
GCACUUAUUAUGAAUACAUAAAUAUUGCUUUACUUGAAAGCUGAACAGAACAAAGCAGACUCCAUUAAAAAUAAACUGUUAGCAUGGGAAGUGC